AACGAACGCUGGCGGCAUGCCUAACACAUGCCAGUCGAACGAGACCUUCGGGUCUAGUGGCGCACGGGUGCGUAACGCGUGGGAACCUGCCCUUAGGUUCGGAAUAACUCCCCGAAAGGGGUGCUAAUACCGGAUAAUGUCUUCGGACCAAAGAUUUAUCGCCUUUGGAUGGGCCCGCGUUGGAUUAGCUAGUUGGUAGGGUAAAAGCCUACCAAGGCGACGAUCCAUAGCUGGUCUGAGAGGAUGAGCAGCCACACUGGGACUGAGACACGGCCCAGAAUACUACGGGAGGGAGCAGUGGGGAAUAUUGGAAAAUGGGCGAAAGCCUGAUCCAGCAAUGCCGCGUGAGUGAUGAAGGCCUUAGGGUUGUAAAGCUCUUUUACCCGGGAUGAUAAUGACAGUACCGGGAGAAUAAGCACCGGCUAACUCCGUG
Molecule: ribosomal RNA, 433 nt
Filed under: uncultured bacterium
Lineage: Bacteria
Description: partial 16S ribosomal RNA
Rfam family: Bacterial small subunit ribosomal RNA
Source: RNAcentral